Molecule: ribosomal RNA, 873 nt
Filed under: Lecania cyrtella
Lineage: Eukaryota; Fungi; Ascomycota; Lecanoromycetes; Lecanorales; Ramalinaceae
Description: SSU rRNA
Rfam family: Bacterial small subunit ribosomal RNA
Source: RNAcentral
GGUCAAUAGUCUAACGACUGAACCAGCAACUUGGAAGAAUGAAUAGCGAAAGCUAAUUGUAUUAUUUUAUAGUGCGAUAUCAACUACGUUGAAUAAAAUUCUGGGUAAAAUUAUGAUGAUGACAUUGUUUACCCAUGUGUCUUGACCAAAUUACGUGCCAGCAGUCGCGGUAAUACGUAGAAGACUAGUGUUAUUCAUCUUUAAUAGGUUUAAAGGGUACCUAGACGGUAAACCAAGCUCUUGCCACGCAAGACAGGACUAGUUUACUAGAGUUACUUACAAGGAGGCUAUAAAGUACUAAUGGUGUAGAGAUGAAAUUUUGUGAUACCAUUUCUCGAAAGGGAAGUUAUGGCACUGAUAAAGGCGAAAGCAUCCUCUUAUGUGAUAACUGACGUUGAGGGACGAAGGCUUUGGAUCGCGAAUAGGAUUAGAUACCCUAGUAGUCAAAGCAGAAAAUGAUGAGUGUCAUAGAUUAGAAAAGUAAUUUUAUUCUAUAAAUGAAAGUGUAAGCACUCCACCUCAAGAGUAAUUUGGCAACAUUGGAACUGAAAUCAUUAGACCGUUUCUGAAACCAGUAGUGAAGUAUGUUGUUUAAUUUGAUAAUCCGCAAAACACCUUACCACAACUUGAAUAGAGAUAUCAUAUAUAUCUUUACAAGCGUUGCACGGCUGUCUACAGUUAAUGUCGUGAGACUUUGGUUAGAUCCAUUAAAUUAACGCAAGCCCUUACUUUAUUUUUAAAUAGAGUUGUUCCCCGCUAUAUUGGAUAUGAUAACAGGGACUAAGACAAGUCAUCAUGGCCUUAAUGUUGUGGGCUAUAGACGUGCCACAUAGACCUUUACAAGAAGGAUGUGAAAAUUGUGAGAAAUUAAAC